CAGUAACGGCGAGUGAAGCGGCAACAGCUCAAAUUUGAAAUCUGGCUCCUUCGGGGUCCGAGUUGUAAUUUGUAGAGAGUGCUUCGGGCGAGACCUCGGUCUAAGUCCAUUGGAACAUGGUGUCAUAGAGGGUGAGAAUCCCGUAUGCGACCGUGGCUCGAGCCCAUGUGAAGCCUCUUCGACGAGUCGAGUUGUUUGGGAAUGCAGCUCAAAACGGGUGGUAAAUUUCAUCUAAAGCUAAAUACUGGCUGGAGACCGAUAGCGCACAAGUAGAGUGAUCGAAAGAUGAAAAGCACUUUGGAAAGAGAGUCAAACAGUACGUGAAAUUGUUGAAAGGGAAGCGCUUGCAACCAGACCUGCCCGUAGGCGAUCAGCCGCUGUUCUCAGCGGUGCACUCGCUCUGCGAUCAGGCCAGCAUCGGUUUCGGCGGUCGGAUAAAGGCCUUGGGAAUGUAGCUUCCCUUCGGGGUAGUCUUAUAGCCCUCGGUGUAAUGCGGCCAGCCGGGACCGAGGACCGCGCUUCGGCUAGGAUGCUGGCGUAAUGGUUGUAAGCGACCCGUCUUGAAACACGGACCAAGGAGUCUAACAUCUAUGCGAGUGUUUGGGUGUCAAACCCAUACGCGGAAUGAAAGUGAACGGAGGUGAGAACCCUUAAGGGCGCAUCAUCGACCGAUCCAGAUGUCUUCGGAUGGAUUUGAGUAUGAGCAUAGCUGUUGGGACCCGAAAGAUGGUGAACUAUGCCUGAAUAGGGUGAAGCCAGAGGAAACUCUGGUGGAGGCUCGCAGCGGUUCUGACGUGCAAAUCGAUCGUCAAAUUUGGGUAUAGGGGCGAAAGACUAAUC
RNAcentral lists this ribosomal RNA (840 nucleotides) under Xanthoparmelia coloradoensis. RNAcentral describes it as "eukaryotic LSU rRNA". It matches the Rfam family "Eukaryotic large subunit ribosomal RNA", at positions 81 to 936 of the family's 3401-position model. Lineage: Eukaryota; Fungi; Ascomycota; Lecanoromycetes; Lecanorales; Parmeliaceae. The record is from RNAcentral.